UGGCGGCGUGCUUACACAUGCAGUCGAACGAUGAAGCCCAGCUUGCCUGGGUGGAUUAGUGGCGAACGGGUGAGUAACACGUGAGCAACGUGCCCAUAACUCUGGGAUAACCUCCGGAAACGGUGGCUAAUACUGGAUAUCUAACGCGAUCGCAUGGUCUGUGUUUGGAAAGAUUUUUUGGUUAUGGAUCGGCUCACGGCCUAUCAGCUUGUUGGUGAGGUAAUGGCUCACCAAGGCGACGACGGGUAGCCGGCCUGAGAGGGUGACCGGCCACACUGGGACUGAGACACGGCCCAGACUCCUACGGGAGGCAGCAGUGGGGAAUAUUGCACAAUGGGCGAAAGCCUGAUGCAGCAACGCCGCGUGAGGGAUGACGGCCUUCGGGUUGUAAACCUCUUUUAGUAGGGAAGAAGCGAAAGUGACGGUACCUGCAGAAAAAGCACCGGCUAACUACGUGCCAGCAGCCGCGGUAAUACGUAGGGUGCAAGCGUUGUCCGGAAUUAUUGGGCGUAAAGAGCUCGUAGGCGGUUUGUCGCGUCUGCUGUGAAAUCCCGAGGCUCAACCUCGGGUCUGCAGUGGGUACGGGCAGACUAGAGUGUGGUAGGGGAGAUUGGAAUUCCUGGUGUAGCGGUGGAAUGCGCAGAUAUCAGGAGGAACACCGAUGGCGAAGGCAGAUCUCUGGGCCAUUACUGACGCUGAGGAGCGAAAGCAUGGGGAGCGAACAGGAUUAGAUACCCUGGGUA
Molecule: ribosomal RNA, 743 nt
Filed under: uncultured bacterium
Lineage: Bacteria
Description: bacterial SSU rRNA
Rfam family: Bacterial small subunit ribosomal RNA
Source: RNAcentral